CAGUAGCCGCGGUAAGACAGAGGAUGCAAGCGUUAUCCGGAAUGGUUGGGCGUAAAGCGUCUGUAGGUGGCUUUUCAAGUCCGCCGUCAAGUCCCAGGGCUCAACCCUGGACAGGCGGUGGAAACUACCAAGCUGGGGUACGGUAGGGGCAGAGGGAAUUUCCGGUGGAGCAGUGAAAUGCGUUGAGAUCGGAAAGAACACCAACGGCGAAAGCACUCUGCCGGGCCGACACUGACACUGAGAGACGAAAGCUAGGGGAGCAAAUGGGAUUAGAUACCCCCGUAGUCCCUGUCUCUUAUAC
RNAcentral lists this ribosomal RNA (301 nucleotides) under uncultured bacterium. RNAcentral describes it as "partial 16S ribosomal RNA". It matches the Rfam family "Bacterial small subunit ribosomal RNA", at positions 509 to 807 of the family's 1533-position model. The record is from RNAcentral.